CGCCUACGUUAGCCAGUGAAAUCAUCUUUGUGUCGGAGAUCACGACCGGCGUUUCGUGCCUCAAUGUGUCCUCCUCGACGCUCUGAUUUCGUCGUCAAGCGAGCUCCGACAAACACUCGCCGCAACUCGGCUGAAUAAAAGGACUCCCUGAUGGUUUUCCUCAGACAACUCAAGUUCUUCAAAAUUCCGAGGUUUCACGCCCGAUGCCCGUCCCGAUGUGACCCCUGCCGACCCUUUGGUGUGGUCAACACAACCUGGCGUUGAGCACUUUAAAGAUUGUGGAGAUGAUUGUGGACUUCAGGAGGCAACCUUCACCACAGCUGCCCCUCACGCUGCCCAACUGUCAAGACCUUCAAGUUCUUGGGAAUUACAGAGGACCCGAAGUGGGAGGCAAACAUCAACUCCAUCCUCAAAAAAGCCCAGCAAGGGACGUCCUUCUUGCGGCUUCUGAGGAAGAACAUCCCGUCACAAGAGCUGUUGAGACAGUUCUACACGGCGGUCAUCUAAUCAGUCCUGUGCACCUCCAUCGCAAUCUGGUUUGGGGGCGCCACAAAAAAAGGACAACCUCAGACUGCAAAGGACAUUCAAAACCGCUGAACGGAUUGUCGGCACCACGCAACCCACUUUUGAGGACUUCCACGCCACUCGGACUGGGACCAGAGCGGGCAGGAUCCUUUCGGACCCUCCGCAUCCCGGACACCAGCUCUUCCGGCUCCUUCCGUCGGGAAAGCGCUACAGAUCAAUGAAAUUCAAAAGAAGCAGGCAUUCGAACUGGGUUGUUUUUUUUUUCCCCCUUUGGCAAUUAACUCAUUAAAUUCUCGAUCAUCGAACCUUCUGUCACCGUAAUUUCCGGACUAUAAGCCGCGACUUUUGUCGCACGUUUUCAACCCUGCGACUUAUACAAUGAUGCGGCUAAUUUAUUCAUUUUUUUUCCUAACGGCCGCCAGCGGCGCUCGAGCAGAAAAGGUAAGAGUGAGACAGGUGGAAUAUAUGCGUCGAGGAAGACGCAAGUUUCAUGUAGCCUCGCGCUUUGUGCGUGUAUAAAAUUUAGCAUCAUGAAAAAUGCAAGAAGCUGGCCAAUAAAGAAGGAAACGGCUGCUGCACGUAAACGUGGCAAAAACGAAUCGAUGGUGAGACGCUGGAAAUGGCACCGGGAAGAACUGGAGCAAUGGAAAAAUGCAUCAAAGUCGAUGGCCUGAACCUUAUUGCUGCUGCGUUACUGCUCCAUCAAAGGCACUGUUUGGAAAGAAAAGCUAAGGUAUUUUAUUCAAACUUUGAAAACUCUUUCUGUGCACCGUCUUUCUUCGUAAAUAUUUCAUGUUUCACUAUGGGCAGAUGCGCCUUAUAGACAGGUGCGACUUAUGUAUGUACAAAAUGCUUUUUCCUUUAAAAAUGUACUGGGUGAGGCUUAUAAUCAGGUGCGGCUUUUAUAUUUUGUGGACCGUAUGAUUCGUAACUUUAACCUGCUCUGCUCUUGCACUCGUCUAUAACGGGAACCGCAAGCGGGUAAAGGUACUCUGUCCGAGCUUGACACAAUGUAGGAUGUUAACGACACACUUAUCUAUUCUAAAUAAAGAUUUUACAUCUUGCAUGGGGCCUCCGCUCCCCAGGAGGGGUUGCAUCAGGAAGGGCGUCCGGCGUCAAAACUGCGCCAAACAAAUACGAGAUGUCACGCUGUGGCGACCCCUAACGGGACAAGCCGGAAGAAACGGAACAGAAAUGUCUUCUUGUUGUUGUUUUGUUGUUCUUUGAUUUGAACGUUCGACUGCCGGAGGAAAAAUUCCUCGUGUGUUUUUACACACUUGGCCAAUAAAGCUGAUUCUGAUUCUGAUUCUGAUGGCUCAGUUGAGUGCAAAACAUUCAAAUUCAGCCCUCAUGCUCAUCUUCUAAUAUAAUAUUCACCUGCUCAUCGCCAGCAUUAUCACCUGCGACAGAUUUGAUUCUGAAACGCCGUUUUAUUCCCCCUUCGCACUUGUCUUGUCUUCUUAAGUUAAUCGUCAAAAGAUUUGACUGCAAGCUGGCAAUUUUUCCUUUGAUAGCACUGUUACCAAAAAAGGCCAAAUAUUUUGAGCAGUUUAAAGAGAUGUUUACUUACAGUGGGGGGCGGAAAGUAUUCACACCCCCUCAAAUAUUUCUUUUUUUUUUUUUUUAAUCAGCCAUGUGGCUUGCCAUUCCGAGUCAAAAUAUGUUGGCCUUUGUGCUAUAUUUUGGAUUCUUUGGUAUUCUUCUGUCCUGUGACUUUCCACUGUAAAACAACUUCCUAUAUACGUGUA
This is a long non-coding RNA of Syngnathoides biaculeatus (alligator pipefish), 2273 nucleotides long. RefSeq lists it as uncharacterized. The transcript is spliced from 4 exons. The record is from RefSeq and is a predicted model, not a curated record. Lineage: Eukaryota; Metazoa; Chordata; Actinopteri; Syngnathiformes; Syngnathidae.